Molecule: long non-coding RNA, 1876 nt
Filed under: Daphnia pulicaria
Lineage: Eukaryota; Metazoa; Arthropoda; Branchiopoda; Diplostraca; Daphniidae
Description: uncharacterized LOC124321000, transcript variant X3
Source: RNAcentral
AGAAGUGAUGUAAACACUCCAAAAGAAAUAAAAUGAUUACUUAGUGACUUUUCAGGAGCUACCAUAUUUACCUAUUUUUAUUGCAUUAGGUUCCCUUGUGUUAGUCUUAUUGUUUAUCUUUGCGAAAAGACAAAUAAUGCGAUUUACUUUACGAUCGAGAAGGGGUCCACAUGUUCCAAUUGGUCAUUCCGCACCCAGGUGGCUUAGAAAAGAAAUUGAACGCAGGCUAGACCUUGUUGGCCGAAUCAAACAUGAACCAAAACUUGUUUCUGAAGCUAGUUCAGCUGAUACUCACAACCCUGAAACCUUUUGCCGGAUGCAAGCUAUGGAUGACAUAAAGAUUUUAGAAAUUCAAUUGCAAGCUGCAGAUCCCAAAGCAGGGAGAAUGCCCAAUGAAAACCUCAGCCCCUUUUUAAUGGCUCAAAUUAAUACUGCAAUGUGUGUGCAUGCAAACUUGGCACCGUCAAACAGCUACUGCAUGAAGAGCUUGCCAUUUCAUACCCAGACAAGACACCUUUUACGAACACCAACAUUGGCCAGUACCACAAAUCCCUGAAACAAGCUAUGAAAUCUACCCUGAAAGUUUGACCUUCAACCAACCUGCUGAAAGCUAUGAUCUUCAUCCAUAUUUUCCUGUUACACCAUUUCUUCCAGUUGGCAUUCAUGAAGAAGAUGAAUUUCAAGGUUUCCCUCUGAAUUCCGAAAAUGAUUCUACGCCUGAAAAUUUCAUGAUGUACACCACAGAAAACGGCUCAUUUUUUAUUGAAAAUAUGCUUUCGGAAAUCUCUGUAUUUGCUUACAACAACUUGCCGAAUUGGGGAUUCUCGCAUCCUUUGGGAUAUGUGCUAAAGAACAAACGAGGAUUGUUCGGAUGUUUCACUCUUCACUCUGGAAAGGCUUGUUAUGUCAAAUUUUCGCCCUACUCAAUCAAAUUCUCGAGUAUUAUACAUUGCACCAGAGGUUAUUUUCGUGGUUUGUUGUCAUUCCGAGUAAUAGCAACAUAGUUCCUGAAUGUUUUUUGUUAUCACAUCUGCAGUACCCAAGCUUUAUAUGAACUCAACAUUGUUGAGGAAUUCAAUAGGUUCUUUCUUGACCUGAGUUAUUGGUACUUUUACAUUGCUCAGUGUUCAUCAAGUAGGGAAAUGCAUUCCCAACAGUUUUGAUUUCCCAAUACAAAGAAUGCAACCAACUUCAAUCCACUGGUAGAGAUGGAGCUGUUCCAUUAUAUUUAUUUUUCCUAAAUGUUUAAUUGAAAACAGUUUGUGGUUGUUUUCAAUAAAAAAUUGACAGAUGACAACCACCAAGACCCUAUUAUUUUAUCACCACAACCACACAUCAUCCUUUGUUUAUUAAACCUCUGAAGUUUGGUGCUCUUUGAAACCUCCAGGGCAGUGAUACCGGAAUACCAAUUGCAGCAUCAUCUUCAAUCACACGGCAGUAGCAAUACUGCUUGCUGUUGUGCAAUUCCUUCCUUACAUUCUUCCUUGCUGCAAGCAUCAUAUUUGACUAUCCGAGCGACUACCCAACCGACGUCCAGGUGGAUAACUCUUACUGCCUCCUACUACCGUGCUCUCAACAACAGCAGGGAGUUUUUUUUUCUUUAUUGUUUAUUUUUUUGUGAUUUGUAAUGGCGCCAUGGCGGUUUCUUGAGUAUGACGAGGCGCCGAUGAUUAUUAAUUGCGAGGAGAAUAUUGUGAGUAUCAAGUGUUAUUUUAAGAAAAUCGAUGAGCUAUAGAGCAGGCAUCCCCGAGGAUAAUAACUUUCUUCCUUGAAUAACUAAGUUAAUUCAUAAAAAUUUAUUAUCAGUGUAUUUCAUGUUACAACUAAUACAGAUGCAACAACAGAAACUAAUACAGAUACAAGCUGUUUAGGCUAA